UUGGUAUGCGAAGGGUGGCUAGGAUGGUUUAGAUAGAGUAAUACAUUUGACGUGCCAUGAUCUGUAUUAUACAUCUAGGCUAUUAACCUGAAAGUUCAUCUAACUGAGAGCCAGUGUAGCUAUGGAAAGGAUCAAAGAAUGGUUGACAUGGUGUUUAUUGAUGAACUACUUCAGGAGAAAUGCAGGGUGCAGGACACAGGAAAUGACACAUUAAAAGUCAUAAAAUGUCAAUGAUGGUGAUGGUGAUAUUGAAGGCCAGAAAGUCAGGAGUGAAGCCAGGAGGGGAGUGAUAACUGACAAAAAAUGAAGGUUCAUGGAUGAACUUACUAAAUGGAAGAAGAAUCUCAUGGAGAAGAAGAUUUUUUCAGACUAGAAGGCUGCUGAGGCAUUGUGCUGAAGACUAAAGAAUCAGGAACAGAAAUAGAAGAUGAAAAAAUUGUGACAGUUUUAUGUCCUCUUUUCCUUUCUUAAGGUUUUUGUUUCUGUCCUUGUCUCAUUGUUAACAUUUUUUUACAAUUAUGCAAAACUAAAGCAGGAAAAUUUUAUUUAUACCAAUUACUUAUAUUGCUUGCUUUUGAUUUAGAUAGCAU
Molecule: long non-coding RNA, 590 nt
Organism: Sarcophilus harrisii (Tasmanian devil)
Lineage: Eukaryota; Metazoa; Chordata; Mammalia; Dasyuromorphia; Dasyuridae
Exons: 3
Source: RefSeq, a predicted model, not a curated record